Molecule: ribosomal RNA, 253 nt
Filed under: uncultured bacterium
Lineage: Bacteria
Description: partial 16S ribosomal RNA
Rfam family: Bacterial small subunit ribosomal RNA
Source: RNAcentral
UACAGAGGUCUCAAGCGUUGUUCGGAUUCAUUGGGCGUAAAGGGCGCGUAGGCGGCGCGGUAAGUCGGGUGUGAAAUCUUGGAGCUUAACUCCGAAACUGCAUUCGAUACUGCCGUGCUUGAGGACUGGAGAGGAGACUGGAAUUCAUGGUGUAGCAGUGAAAUGCGUAGAGAUCAUGAGGAAGACCAGUGGCGAAGGCGGGUCUCUGGACAGUUCCUGACACUGAGACACGAAGGCCAGGGGAGCAAACGGG